UACGGAGGGUGCAAACGUUGCUCGGAAUCAUUGGGCGUAAAGCGCACGUAGGCGGUUCUGCAAGUCGGGUGUGAAAUCCCUCGGCUUAACCAAGGAAGUGCAUUCGAAACUGCAGAACUUGAGUACUGGAGAGGGUCGCGGAAUUCUCGGUGUAGAGGUGAAAUUCGUAGAUAUCGGGAGGAACACCGGUGGCGAAGGCGGGUCUCUGGGCCGAUACUGACGCUGAGGAGCGAAAGCGUGGGGAGCGAACAGG
Molecule: ribosomal RNA, 253 nt
Filed under: uncultured bacterium
Lineage: Bacteria
Description: partial 16S ribosomal RNA
Rfam family: Bacterial small subunit ribosomal RNA
Source: RNAcentral